Molecule: ribosomal RNA, 253 nt
Filed under: uncultured bacterium
Lineage: Bacteria
Description: partial 16S ribosomal RNA
Rfam family: Bacterial small subunit ribosomal RNA
Source: RNAcentral
UACGUAGGGUGCAAGCGUUGUCCGGAAUUAUUGGGCGUAAAGAGCUCGUAGGCGGUUCGUCGCGUCGGCUGUGAAAUCCCGGAGCUCAACUCCGGGUCUGCAGUCGAUACGGGCGGACUUGAGUACUGCAGGGGAGACUGGAAUUCCUGGUGUAGCGGUGAAAUGCGCAGAUAUCAGGAGGAACACCGGUGGCGAAGGCGGGUCUCUGGGCCGAUACUGACGCUGAGGAGCGAAAGCGUGGGUAGCAAACAGG